Molecule: non-coding RNA, 29 nt
Filed under: Cricetulus griseus (Chinese hamster)
Lineage: Eukaryota; Metazoa; Chordata; Mammalia; Rodentia; Cricetidae
Source: RNAcentral
AUUGUAGUGGUCUGAGCUGUCGUGUGACU